UUACCUAGGUGAUACAAAAUCUUACAAUCGUAGUUCUUGAGGAGCUCUAUCUAAUACCUCUGACACAUGUUGAGAUCCUUUUAGGUGAAUAUAUACUUUAAACUCUUAUAGUCUGUAUAAAUUUUGAAAUAUCUCUCCAUAUAAGUAGUGGCACCAGGUUUUUAAAGCAUGAAUAAUGGUGGUAAGUUCUAAGUUGUGGGUGAGAUAUUCUUUUUAUGAGUUUUAACUGCCUGAACCUAUAGGCUAUGACAUUUUCAUGCUGCAUCAGAACACAAU
This 276-nucleotide long non-coding RNA is filed under the name Carica papaya (papaya). RNAcentral's name for it is "long non-coding RNA (CPAP_LNC007785)". Lineage: Eukaryota; Viridiplantae; Streptophyta; Magnoliopsida; Brassicales; Caricaceae. The record is from RNAcentral.